RNAcentral lists this small nucleolar RNA (131 nucleotides) under Octodon degus (degu). The record is from RNAcentral. Lineage: Eukaryota; Metazoa; Chordata; Mammalia; Rodentia; Octodontidae.
CUUGAGGUGUAUCCUGAGGGGGCCGCUCCUGUGGCUGCUCAUCGUUGGAAACACCUGCUAGAGUAACACUGGCUUGGUUUAGCUCACAGGUCUCUUUCUUAGGCCUGCUGGUAAGGCUCUACAGGACAGCA